Molecule: ribosomal RNA, 974 nt
Filed under: uncultured organism
Description: bacterial SSU rRNA
Rfam family: Bacterial small subunit ribosomal RNA
Source: RNAcentral
GGGGUUGACGGUACCCUACUAGAAAGGAGCCGCUAACUUCGUGCCAGAAGCGUCGGUAAUACGGGGGCUCCAAGCGUUAUCCGGUGUUAUUGGGCGUAAAGAGUCGUGUAGGUGGUUGGGUAAGUUAUCUUUCAAAUAUCUUUGCUUAACAAAGAGGAGGGGGAUAAUACUGCUCGACUAGAAUUUUCUCAAGGGAGAUCGGAACUGAGGGAGGAGUAGUGAAAUGCGUUGAUACCCUCGGGGAACACCAGUGGCGUAGGCGGAUCUCUGGGAGAAGAUUGACACUGAGACACGAAAGCUAGGGGAGCGAAGCAGAUUAGAGACCUGCGUAGUCCUAGCCGUAAACGCAUGCUUGCUAGCUGCAUGAAUCUACCUUCGGGUGGUAUCGUGUGGCGAAGGUAACCCGUUAAGCAAGCCGCCUGGAAAGUACGGCCGCAAGGCUGAAAUUCAAAGGAAUUGGCGGGGAGGCACACAACCAGUGGAACAUGUGGUUUAAUUCGAGACUAACCGAAGAACCUCACCAGGGUUUGACAUGUAGCUGCACGUCUUAAGAAAUUAAGACUCUCUUGAAGGUGCUACACAGGUGCUGCAUGGCUGUCGUCAGCUCGUUCCGUGAGGAGUGCCCUUAAGUGGGACAACGAGCGCAACCCCUAUUACAUGUUAGAAAUGUCAUGUAAGACUGCCUUGCCAUUUGGCGGGGAGGAAGGAGGGGCAGACGUCAAGUCCGCAUGGUCCUUAUGCCCUGGGCUACACACAUGUUACAAUGAGUACGGCAAUGAGUCUGUCGCGAGCACGUAAGUGUAAGCUAAUCUCUUAAAUGUACUCCCAGUGGGGAUUGAGGUCUGCAACUCGACCUCAUGAACACGGAAUUGGUAGUAAUCGCGGGUCAGCUAUACCGCGGUGAAUACGUUCUUGCCUCUUGCACACACCGCCCGUCAAACCAGCAAAGUCGAUUGUAUCCGAACCUCUCUUUU